Long non-coding RNA from Saccostrea cuccullata (small rock oyster), 383 nucleotides. RefSeq lists it as uncharacterized. Lineage: Eukaryota; Metazoa; Mollusca; Bivalvia; Ostreida; Ostreidae. The record is from RefSeq and is a predicted model, not a curated record. The transcript has 3 exons.
AAAAACCCCUACAUAAACAAAUACAUGGGCGCAGACAUUUUGGACACCCAAAGUUGUGCGGAGGAGAAAAUGCUAGCUGGCGCGUGAUUGGUCAAUAAGAGAAAAGACUUGUUAUGUAUUUGACAAGUGAAAUAAAGUUGAUAAAAAUCUCAUAUCAAGACUUGGGUUUCUUUGAGGUAUAUAUGAGUUACAGCAAUGCAUUAUCAAGAAGGAAGAGAUUAAUGAACCCUACCCUCUUACAAUGAACAACACAUGGACACCCUCGGGAUGAUCCCUCUGCUUUCAUUAAGAGUUCCAAGAUGUUGGUCUGAUUGACUGGGGUGUGAAAUGUAACAGCCAAUGGUGUACUUAAGCUAAGACUGUCAGUCCCAAUAUUCAAGAGG